RNAcentral lists this ribosomal RNA (425 nucleotides) under uncultured bacterium. RNAcentral describes it as "partial 16S ribosomal RNA". It matches the Rfam family "Bacterial small subunit ribosomal RNA", at positions 354 to 796 of the family's 1533-position model. The record is from RNAcentral.
GUGGGGAAUAUUGCACAAUGGGGGAAACCCUGAUGCAGCGACGCCGCGUGGAGGAAGAAGGUCUUCGGAUUGUAAACUCCUGUUGUUGAGGAAGAUAAUGACGGUACUCAACAAGGAAGUGACGGCUAACUACGUGCCAGCAGCCGCGGUAAAACGUAGGUCACAAGCGUUGUCCGGAAUUACUGGGUGUAAAGGGAGCGCAGGCGGGAAGACAAGUUGGAAGUGAAAUCCAUGGGCUCAACCCAUGAACUGCUUUCAAAACUGUUUUUCUUGAGUAGUGCAGAGGUAGGCGGAAUUCCCGGUGUAGCGGUGGAAUGCGUAGAUAUCGGGAGGAACACCAGUGGCGAAGGCGGCCUACUGGGCACCAACUGACGCUGAGGCUCGAAAGUGUGGGUAGCAAACAGGAUUAGAAACCCUAGUAGUCC